GAUUCCCCUAGUAACGGCGAGUGAAGCGGGAAAAGCUCAAAUUUGAAAUCUGGCGGUCUACGGCCGUCCGAGUUGUAGUCUAGAGAGGUGUCUUCUGCGUCGGACCAUGCACAAGUCCCUUGGAACAGGGCGUCAUAGAGGGUGAGAAUCCCGUCCGUGGCAUGGACUCCCGGUGCUUUGUGAUGCGCCUUCGAAGAGUCGAGUUGUUUGGGAAUGCAGCUCAAAAUGGGUGGUAAAUUCCAUCUAAGGCUAAAUACAGGCGAGAGACCGAUAGCGAACAAGUACCGUGAGGGAAAGAUGAAAAGCACUUUGGAAAGAGAGUUAAACAGUACGUGAAAUUGUUGAAAGGGAAACGCUUGGAGUCAGUCGCGUUUGCCGGGACUCAGCCUUGCUUCUGCUUGGUGCACUUCCUGGUACACGGGCCAGCAUCGAUUUUGAUCGCCGGAAAAAGGCUUGGGGAAGGUGGCACCUUCGGGUGUGUUAUAGCCCCUUGUUGUAUACGGUGGUUGGGAUUGAGGACCGCAGCACGCCUUUUGGUCGGGGUUCGCCCACGCCACGUGCUUAGGAUGCUGGCGUAAUGGCUUUAAACGACCCGUCUUGAAACACGGACCAAGGAGUCUAACAUGCCUGCGAGUGUUUGGGUGUAAAACCCAGGCGCGUAAUGAAAGUGAAAGGUUGGGACUCUUCGCUGAGGCACCGACGCCCGAUCCUGACGUUCUCUGACGGAUUUGAGGUAGAGCAUGUAUGUUGGGACCCGAAAGAUGGUGAACUAUGCCUGAAUAGGGCGAAGCCAGAGGAAACUCUGGUGGAGGCUCGUAGCGAUUCUGACGUGCAAAUCGAUCGUCAAAUUUGGGUAUAGGGGCGAAAGACUAAUCGAACCAUCUAGUA
Molecule: ribosomal RNA, 888 nt
Filed under: Pseudohydnum gelatinosum
Lineage: Eukaryota; Fungi; Basidiomycota; Agaricomycetes; Auriculariales
Description: partial large subunit ribosomal RNA
Rfam family: Eukaryotic large subunit ribosomal RNA
Source: RNAcentral